Molecule: long non-coding RNA, 5767 nt
Organism: Episyrphus balteatus (marmalade hoverfly)
Lineage: Eukaryota; Metazoa; Arthropoda; Insecta; Diptera; Syrphidae
Exons: 5
Source: RefSeq, a predicted model, not a curated record
AUUAUGUUAUAUUAUCUUGAAACUUGUAUAUUUAUUGUAUAUUUUAUUUUUUUUUUCACGUGCGUCUUUCGAAGUCGGUUUUUGGCUGAUACGGCAUGAUGUAUGUACCUACACUCAAUGAUUUGUUUGUCGCUGAAGUUUAAUCGCUAACUCUUGAAAGCCUUUAGAACAUUUUAUGGAACCUUUUACACUCCAUUCAGGAAAAAAGGUAUUAUUAGGAUUAGCAAGGAGUUGAUCCCACAUUAGCGCUGCUCUAUUGGAGGUGGUACAUGAGUAGAAAUCCAGUACAACAACUACACAUCCCUAUCUCCUCGAGCAGAUCAUGUGUUGAUUGUAUGUAGUACUAGAUUUACUCAUGAGUAAACUACCACCCCCAAUGGAACAGGGAUAAUACGAGAUCAACUCCUUGCUUAUCCUAAUAAUACUUUUUUCCCUGAAUGGAGUACCUAUAAAAGUUCUAAGGGCGUUAAAGAGUAAGCGAUUAAACCAAGGAGUGUAGGUUUCAUCAUGUGCAUGUCGUAUCAGCCACAAAUCGUCUUCGAAAGACAACGCACGUGGAAAAAAUAAAAUAUAUAAUAACAAUACACAAACAUAUGUACAUAUGUGUACAUUAAAGGAAACCCAACAGCUUUGGGAACUGCAAAAAACAACAAUAUAGGAAUCUCCGGAUUGGCACUUUGGCAGUAGCAGCUGCUGCAAGUCGUAUUGCAAAAACAUUUCUUCAUGUCAAUCCAAAUGAUUUCUUUGGCAACUGUUGGGCUUCCUUUAAUCCGAAAAACUUCCAAUCAUUCCUAUCAAACAACAUUACCACGCAACCAACGAAAUUGCAUUUACAAAACAAAAUAGGUAUAUUCCUUCCUCUGAAGAAGGCGACGAAAUACCAUCAACCAACGAAGACCUCUCGAUUGUCGAGAAACGUAUAUUGAUAAAAUUCCUUACAAAUUGCAUGGGUUUAGAUGGCAAACAAACUUACCGAAAAGAUCAUAUCCAUUGUGUAAUGAAUUCCAUUGCCAUGUGCAAUGAGAAAACUUCUCUCAAUGAAGGAGUUAAAACUUGAAAGGAUGAAAAACUACUUGCAGAGUUUGCGCAGAUAUGUAAAUAAUUCCUUUCUUUUUGCUAUGUUAUGAUGAUGCAAUUAGAGGAGCGAUUCCCCUUCAACUCUCACAUAUUUGAUUCACAUCAGUGCUAAGGCCGUAUCUAAUGAUCCUGAAGCUGAUUACCAUUUGCUGUAGUGAAUACUUGCCGAGGUCAAAGUUUUUUUUCCAAAAUUACUCUUUUGUGCUUAUUUUCUUUUUAAACGAUGCAAAAUAUGUCAAUAAACAAAUAUUUAACAUCUUUAGCAUUCUUAAUAGAUAAAUCAUAAUCAAUUUCGAAGAUUGGUCCACAUGUCGAAGCACAAUCACUUUUAUUAUGGUUUCAAAGAGGAUGCAUAGAUUUUCUACACAAAACACGACCGUAGUGGAAAAUUUCGGAAAUUCUUUAUGAAACUCCGUUCUUAAUGACAAUUUGUUUUUAAUACCAACUUAGACAUCUAUACUCGAAACGAGAUAAAAUUUCUUCUAGCUCGCCUCUAAACAUAUAAGUAAUUCUAUUCAAAAAGUAGUAUUCCUUUAAGCAGAGGUGUUGGAAUUUUAAAUAAAUUACUUGAAUAAAAAUAAUUUUUACUUUAAUCUGUUCUUUUCUAAUAUAUAUGCGACUACCAACUGAAAAUUCUGGGCGGAUUUGCGAGGUUUGGUGGGGCUUCACAUGACGCCUACAUUUGGGAAGCGUCGAGGAUAAAUGCAUUGCUGAAACAACGUUAUGAAAGUAACGGCCGCAACCACGAUUCAUGCAUCUUAAUUGAAGGUGAUUCUGGUUACCCUUUGCGUCCAUGGAUAAUGACACCAUAUCGCUCAGCAACUAGCCGAGAUGAAAUUUACUACAACAAAAUACACGCAAAGGGACGAAAUUGCAUCGAGCGUUUGAAUGGCAAUAUAAAGUCAGUGUUCCGGUGCCUUCAGCGCACGUUAUUCAGAUCGCCGCAGGAUGCAGGAACGAUAAUAAAUGCUGUUUGUGUUUUGCAUAACUUUAGAAGAGGUCACGGAAUAAGCGAUGACUCUAUUUUUGAUAUUCCUAUCAACAAAGAAGAAGAUAUAAGAGAUCCUGAAUAGCCAAACCUUUUCCUAAGAGAGGCUGUUAAUAUACGUGAGAAUUAAAAGAAGUAUUUCUAGGUUUACAUAUAUCGUUUAACAAAAAAACAUAUAACCAUUUAAAUGGAUAAUUCUGUGGCCUCAAUCAAUAACGGCUAAAGUCGAAAAAAAAAACAAAAUUUGGUUUUACAAUAAUGCUCCGCAUUUUUUAAAUUUGCCUCAAAAACAACUCAAUCUUUUCUUAACUCGAUCUAGAUAGUUUUAAUCUAUCGUUUUCAAUAGUUAAAAAAUUAAAAAGAUGUAGAUUUAGCAUUGGGUAGCAUCAUAAGACCUCUCAAAAAAUUUUAUCUUAGCUCACUUAAGCGGUUAUUGGUUGUGGCCACAGAAUUAAUGUUGUUGUGAAAUUUAAAAUUAUAUAAAGGAAAACGAAAAAUUCUUACAUACAUUUUUAAUGCAUGUUGUAUUAAGAGAAAAGAAUAAAUAAAGUAAGUAAUUAAAUCAUAUGAUAAAAUAAAUACUAGGUAUACUAAAGUAAAUAGGAACGUAAAAUAUUUUAAAUUCUUGAACAAUUUAAUGUGGUAAUUUUUAUAGAAUUUUUUUGGGCGGUGUUUCUAGAAAGGUCAUCCUCUUCAUCAAGUCCUUUAAAUACAAAUAUUAUAAUAUAAUGAAUACAACUAUCUUAAAACCCAUAAAAUAUAAUUAAUUAAUACUUACUAUUGAACAAUAUUUGUUGAGAGACAAAAAUUUUUUGAUUACAAAAUUUUGAUAGAUAGGGAGAGUGGGGCACAUUUGAACACUUUUUGCUCUCGAAGCUUGAACGAAAUAUGUUCAAUUUCUUGAUCUGUAAAGUUUACUAACAUUGAUCAGUAACAUUGAACUUCGAUUUCAAAGAACAUUGGGUUAGUUAAACAAAUUAUUUAUAUUGAAUUUUGAUGUUUUAAAAAUAUAGGCUCAUGUUCAAAAGUGCCCCAUAUAUGGAUCAGUUUUGAACAUGGGUACUUUUGACCAGCAGUAUUAGUUUCGUUGUUAUGAAUAAAUAAUACUUAACUUUUUAUUAUUUUUUUAAUAAGAACAUACAAAAACUCCAAAUUGAUUGUUAUAUUAUAUCCAAUUAACCAACAAAUAAUAAAAACUCAGAAAAAAUAACAUUAAAAUGUAUACUAUAGUUAUCAGUUUAUCACAUUUAUAAGUUCAAAAGAAAAACAAAAACCAAGAAAAAUUCAUUUAAAAUAUAUCUUAGAAAAAUGGUAUUCAUACCAUUUAUGCUUCUCAGAGUAAAAUAGAUUUAUUUGCGAUCUAAAUCGCAUUUAGAUUUAAAUAUUAAAUCUAAAUGUUAACAAAGCGGAUGUUCUUCAUGUACCAGGAGCAUUAAUUGGUGUAGGUAGCUUGAUUUUAAUUUUUAUAACGCUUAAGCGGUAUAUAAUCGAGUUCUCAUCGAUAAAAGUCUAGCAGAACUUGAAGAAUUCAGGCAUUUUUUUAAAUCUUCAAUUAUGUUGUACAUAUUCCCAUUUUUUCUUUAAUUUUGGCCACAAAUGCUAGUUUCAUUAUUUUUUUUUAUAAGAACAUUGCGAUUUAUUAAAUAAAACACAUUCAAGUGUCCUUAAAAUGUCUGAUACAAACUGCUCGGAGCGGUUUUGAACAUGUUCAAAAGUGCUCCACCAUACUUGUUCAAAACUGCCCCAACUGUGUGAACGACAUAAAAUGUUGAAUAAAUAUUUAACAUUAAUAUAUUCAUUCAAAAAUUCACCGUCAAUUAGUUUAAAAUUCAUUAACCAUUAACAAAAAUUGUAUUGCGUUUUAAAAUUACGUACCAAUUUUUUUUUUAACUCUUACAACUAAAAAACUGAAAUAAUGUAAAACCACUAUAAAAAUCACCUUCCACCUAUAAAUCUGAAAGUCAGCCAAGAUAACGAUGGAAAGUCAUUGACAUUUAUGGUAAUCGUGUUGACGGGUUCAAUUCAAAUAUCGUAAUACUUCUAAAAAAGAUUGAUAUGCUAAAAUUUUAUAUGCAGUGUUCAAAUGUGCCCCGUGUUCAAAACUGCCCCGAUCUCCCCUACACACUAUAUAUGUGCCUAUGAUUAUGAAAGUGGACUAAGUCACUUUUUGCAUUGUUUGAAGAAAAACUUACAUAAUAAUUUUCUUAUAACGAUUUAAUUAAUUUCUUUUAUGAAAUCACUAGAGGAGCAAUAAAGAAGUCUAUUUGCUGCAAUUUCGCUUUCAAAUAAACUUUACCCCUUAAAUAAUAAUUAUUUUUAGGCUAGAUUUGAUGCCAUUUUUAGGAGUGACUUAGUCCACUUUCAUAAUUAAGGGCACAUAUUUGAGUUAAUUUUCCUAUUAAAUAUUUCGUUAUUUUUGUAUAAAUCAAAAUUUUUUUGUCUUUCAACAAAUAUUGUUCAAUUGUAAGUAUAUGUAAAUAAAUUAUUUGUUAUGGGUUUAAAGAUAGUUGUAUUCACUAUAUAAUAUUUGUAUUUAAAGGACUUGGUGAAGAGAGUGACCAUUCUCGAAACUUCGCGAAAAAAAUUUAAUGAAAAAUAUAUAUUGGUUUUAAAUCUUUUAUUUAAACAUCUGUUCGGAACAAAUUAAUUAAUAAAUCAACUUUUUGUAACAAAUCAUUGUUUUGCUUUUCAAUGAUUUCUAUUUUUUUUUCCAUGUUGCGAUUUUUGUAUGUAUUUGUUUGAUGUCUUUUACCAAUGCACCAUGCAUCUCCUUUGCUGUUUCAAUUCCAGUCUUUAAUCGAGCUGAUGGUGGUGCUUCGGUGGACUUCGGUUUUAAGGAACUUGGUGGUUAAGAAGUUUUGAUACUUUGGCUCAACUUUAGAUAUGUACUUUUGGUGGUGCCUCCAAGUUACUCUCAUCGAGUGUUAUAUCUUCUAAGAAGUAGAGUUGGGCACUUUAGUUCAUUUGAGUGAUCGAUCACUUUAGUCCAAAUCACGCUAAUGAACUAGUUCUGAACUAGUUCAUUUUAGUUCAAUUGAUUUUAAUCACUCCGGUUUUGUUAGAAUUAAAAACAAAAUUUGUUUGUACAAACUGUAUCCCAAUUUAUGUAAAAUUGACGCAUUCUACAUAAUAAAACAAAUACAACCUAAAAAUAACAGAUUAUGUACAUUUUUUAUUUUCUAUAAAAAUUCUUAAUUUCGUUCAUAUACUUGUCGAGCUUUCUGAUAAAAGUCUAGAAGAAGUACGUUUUGCUUUCAUUAAAUGGAAAUCAUAGUAAUGCAAGGACCAAGAUGCUACUUGUUUUUUGUUCUUGCUCAGAAAUAAGAGUAAGGGGUGCUUGAAGAAGAAACGCUGAUAAUGUCACAAGCGACCUUUUGUUUUACAUCUAAAUCUUGAGGUAGAGCAGAAGAACUGAUUUCGAUCAACAAAGAAUUGGAUGCAAUUUCAUAUGCACUUUAGUUUCUGCACCCCUUCUUUAAACGUCUCUCGGGUUAAAAGGGCGCUGUCGCCGUAUAAGACCAAAUUUGAAAAUUCCCUAUACAGAUGAGACUUCCUUUCGCCCAAAAAAUAUAUAAAAAAAAAUGAUAACACUGGUCAACAAAAUUUAAUUUGUUUUUUUUUGGUGCCGAGACUAAGAUAUACUUUUCUAUAGGUUUUCGGUGUGCUGAACUCGAUUCUGAAGUCAAGAAAAUCCUAUCACCU